This 464-nucleotide long non-coding RNA is filed under the name Prunus dulcis (almond). Its description in RNAcentral is "sRNA ncRNA". Lineage: Eukaryota; Viridiplantae; Streptophyta; Magnoliopsida; Rosales; Rosaceae. The record is from RNAcentral.
AUGGCGGGAGUGGGUGGUGCUGUAGGAGUACUGAUAUUGGACGAGUCUGUACUUUUGGUACGCCUAAUUCUUCAACAUUUCACAUCACACUAAUCACUCCAGACACCCUGAAAAUUUUCAAGGAUGACUCAUUGCAAGAGCUUUAAGGAUGUCUUUAAGAAUCAGCCAUGCAAUUACCAUUUCCAUGUUUAGUGUAUUGCGAUUGUUCUGCUGUUGUUUCUUUUGAAAUUAUUUAUGGCUGUUUGAAUUGCACAUUUUUACAAGUUUGGAUUUUCUCUUCUCUCUUGUUUUCCACAAUCUAUUUUCUUCAAUAAGUUCCCAUUUUGGUGUAAUACAAUUGUUUUGAUGUUAACAGCAAUGUGAAUUACAUUUGACACUGGCAGGGGCUGAUGAAGCAAAGCAAGACUUCCAAGAGACUGUAUGAACUAGAAUUUGGACUCCGUAUGUAUCGUACGGUCAUUUAA